Molecule: ribosomal RNA, 458 nt
Filed under: Rothevania valdiviana
Lineage: Eukaryota; Metazoa; Arthropoda; Insecta; Hymenoptera; Evaniidae
Description: partial 16S ribosomal RNA
Source: RNAcentral
AUCAAAAACAUGGCUUUAUGAAAAUAUAAUUUAAGGUCAAAUCUGCUCAAUGAUAAAAUUUAAAUAGCUGCAGUACUUUGACUGUACAAAGGUAGCAUAAUCAAUAGUUUAUUAAUUGUGAACUGGAAUGAAGGAUUAAAUAAAAUAUUAACUGUUUCUUGCUAAAAAAAUUAAAUUUAAUUUUUAAGUUAAAAAGCUUAAAUAAUAAUAAGGGACGAGAAGACCCUAUAGAUUUUUACAUUUGUCUUUUAGAAGUCUAUAAAUUAAAAGUUUAAAGAAGGUAAAUGUUUCAAUGGGGAAUUGUUUAAAUAAAAAAAAUUUUAAUAAAAGAAUUUCAUUAAUUGAUGAUUAAAAGGAUGAAUAAAUAAAAUUUAUAUUAGAUAAAAAUACCUUAGGGAUAACAGCAUAAUAAUUUUUUAAAGAUCAAAUUUUAAAAGUUGAUUGUGACCUCGAUGUUG